ACGGCCAGUUCCCGUUGAAACACCGGUUCCCGUAUGAUCACAAGAGUUAAACUACGUCGAGCCAGGUCUGUACCUAGAUGGGUGACCACUUGGGAAUACGAGGAGGUGCU
Non-coding RNA from Acanthosepion pharaonis, 110 nucleotides. The record is from the annotation of a GenBank genome assembly. Lineage: Eukaryota; Metazoa; Mollusca; Cephalopoda; Sepiida; Sepiidae.